GUCGAGAAUCUUUCACAAUGGGGGCAACCCUGAUGGAGCGACGCCGCGUGGAGGAUAAGGUCUUCGGAUUGUAAACUCCUGUCAUGCGUGAACAAGGUUGCUUGGUUAAUACCUGGGCAAAUUGAUGGUAACGCAAGAGGAAGAGACGGCUAACUCUGUGCCAGCAGCCGCGGUAAUACAGAGGUCUCAAGCGUUGUUCGGAAUCACUGGGCGUAAAGGGUGCGUAGGUGGCGUGGUAAGUCAGAUGUGAAAGCCCGGGGCUCAACCUCGGAAAUGAAUCCGAUACUGCCAUGCUAGAGUACUGGAGAGGUGACUAGAAUUCUCGGUGUAGCAGUGAAAUGCGUAGAUAUCGAGAGGAAUACCAAAGGCGUAGGCAGGUCACUGGACAGUUACUGACACUGAGGCACGAAGGCCAGGGGAGCGAACGGGAUUAGAAACCCGGGUAGUCC
This 449-nucleotide ribosomal RNA is filed under the name uncultured bacterium. RNAcentral describes it as "partial 16S ribosomal RNA". It matches the Rfam family "Bacterial small subunit ribosomal RNA", at positions 354 to 796 of the family's 1533-position model. The record is from RNAcentral.